AGAGUUUGAUCCUGGCUCAGAUUGAACGCUGGCGGCAUGCCUUACACAUGCAAGUCGAACGGUAACAGGUCUUCGGAUGCUGACGAGUGGCGAACGGGUGAGUAAUACAUCGGAACGUGCCCGAUCGUGGGGGAUAACGGAGCGAAAGCUUUGCUAAUACCGCAUACGAUCUACGGAUGAAAGCAGGGGACCGCAAGGCCUUGCGCGGACGGAGCGGCCGAUGGCAGAUUAGGUAGUUGGUGGGAUAAAAGCUUACCAAGCCGACGAUCUGUAGCUGGUCUGAGAGGACGACCAGCCACACUGGGACUGAGACACGGCCCAGACUCCUACGGGAGGCAGCAGGUGGGGAAUUUUGGACAAUGGGCGAAAGCCUGAUCCAGCCAUGCCGCGUGCAGGAUGAAGGCCUUCGGGGUUGUAAACUGUCUUUUGUACGGAACGAAAGACUCCUUCUAAUAAAGGGGGUUCAUGACGGUACCGUAAGAAUAAGCACCGGCUAACUACGUG
Molecule: ribosomal RNA, 504 nt
Filed under: uncultured bacterium
Lineage: Bacteria
Description: bacterial SSU rRNA
Rfam family: Bacterial small subunit ribosomal RNA
Source: RNAcentral